RNAcentral lists this transfer RNA (72 nucleotides) under Marmota marmota marmota (Alpine marmot). It matches the Rfam family "tRNA". Rfam says of the family: Transfer RNA (tRNA) molecules are approximately 80 nucleotides in length. RNAcentral also lists the same sequence under 2 other names. The record is from Rfam by way of RNAcentral. Lineage: Eukaryota; Metazoa; Chordata; Mammalia; Rodentia; Sciuridae.
UGGGGUGUAGUUCUGUGGUACAACACUUGCCUUCCAUGAGCAAGGCCCUGGGUUUGAGUCCCAGCACUGUAG